Molecule: ribosomal RNA, 255 nt
Filed under: uncultured bacterium
Lineage: Bacteria
Description: partial 16S ribosomal RNA
Rfam family: Bacterial small subunit ribosomal RNA
Source: RNAcentral
UUUUCCUACGGGGCGCAGCAGUGGGGGAUAUUGCACAAUGGGGGAAACCCUGAUGCAGCGACGCCGCGUGGGCGAAGAAGUAUUUCGGUAUGUAAAGCCCUAUCAGCAGGGAAGAGGAAAUGACGGUACCUGAGUAAGAAGCACCGGCUAAAUACGUGCCAGCAGCCGCGGUAAUACGUAUGGUGCAAGCGUUAUCCGGAUUUACUGGGUGUAAAGGGAGCGCAGGCGGCACGUCCAGCCUGCUGGUAAAGCCCG